This 469-nucleotide ribosomal RNA is filed under the name uncultured bacterium. Its description in RNAcentral is "partial 16S ribosomal RNA". It matches the Rfam family "Bacterial small subunit ribosomal RNA", at positions 28 to 508 of the family's 1533-position model. The record is from RNAcentral.
GACGAACGCUGGCGGCGUGCUUAACACAUGCAGGUCGAACGGAAAGGCCCUGCUUUUGUGGGGUGCUCGAGUGGCGAACGGGUGAGUAACACGUGAGUAACCUGCCCUUGACUUUGGGAUAACUUCAGGAAACUGGGGCUAAUACCGGAUAGGAGCUCCUGCUGCAUGGUGGGGGUUGGAAAGUUUCGGCGGUUGGGGAUGGACUCGCGGCUUAUCAGCUUGUUGGUGGGGUAGUGGCUUACCAAGGCUUUGACGGGUAGCCGGCCUGAGAGGGUGACCGGCCACAUUGGGACUGAGAUACGGCCCAGACUCCUACGGGAGGCAGCAGUGGGGAAUAUUGCACAAUGGGCGGAAGCCUGAUGCAGCAACGCCGCGUGCGGGAUGACGGCCUUCGGGUUGUAAACCGCUUUCGCCUGUGACGAAGCGUGAGUGACGGUAAGGGGUAAAGAAGCACCGGCUAACUACGUGC